Molecule: ribosomal RNA, 389 nt
Filed under: uncultured bacterium
Lineage: Bacteria
Description: bacterial SSU rRNA
Rfam family: Bacterial small subunit ribosomal RNA
Source: RNAcentral
GACGAACGCUGGCGGCGUGCUUAACACAUGCAAGUCGAGCGGUAAGGCCCUUUCGGGGGUACACGAGCGGCGAACGGGUGAGUAACACGUGGGUGACCUGCCCUCAGCUCUGGGAUAAGCCUGGGAAACCGGGUCUAAUACUGGAUAUGACUCCAUGACGCAUGUUGGUGGGGUGGAAAGCCUUGUGCGGCUGAGGAUGGGCCCGCGGCCUAUCAGCUUGUUGGUGGGGUGANGGCCUACCAAGGCGACGACGGGUAGCCGGCCUGAGAGGGCGACCGGCCACACUGGGACUGAGACACGGCCCAGACUCCGUACGGGAGGCAGCAGUGGGGAAUCUUGCGCAAUGGGCGAAAGCCUGACGCAGCGACGCCGCGUGAGGGAUGACGGCC